Molecule: ribosomal RNA, 440 nt
Filed under: uncultured bacterium
Lineage: Bacteria
Description: bacterial SSU rRNA
Rfam family: Bacterial small subunit ribosomal RNA
Source: RNAcentral
UGGCUCAGAACAACGCUGGCGGCAUGCCUAACACAUGCAAGUCGAACGAGACCUUCGGGUCUAGUGGCGCACGGGUGCGUAACACGUGGGAAUUUGCCUCGGGGUAUGGAAUAACUCAGGGAAACUUGAGCUAAUACCAUAUAAUGUCUUCGGACCAAAGAUUUAUCGCCCUGAGAUAAGCCCGCGUAGGAUUAGCUAGUUGGUGGGGUAAAGGCUCACCAAGGCGACGAUCCUUAGCUGGUCUGAGAGGAUGAUCAGCCACACUGGGACUGAGACACGGCCCAGACUCCUACGGGAGGCAGCAGUGGGGAAUAUUGGACAAUGGGCGAAAGCCUGAUCCAGCAAUGCCGCGUGAGUGAUGAAGGCCUUCGGGUUGUAAAGCUCUUUUACUCGGGACGAUAAUGACGGUACCGAGAGAAUAAGCCCCGGCUAACUCCGUG